Long non-coding RNA from Coturnix japonica (Japanese quail), 362 nucleotides. RefSeq lists it as uncharacterized. The record is from RefSeq and is a predicted model, not a curated record. Lineage: Eukaryota; Metazoa; Chordata; Aves; Galliformes; Phasianidae.
CGGCCGGGGCCGGCGGCUCCCGGGGCUCUCGCGGCUCCUCGUUGAAGGCGGUGAUGCGGCGGGACGCCACGGGCGAGUACACGGCCACGCAUUAUGGCCACCGCUGGAGCACACUGUGAGUGGAAGCAGCAGUGGGGUGGCUGAGCUGUAUUAACCUGGGGCUAAAAGAGAGAGGAACACGAGGGAAACCACAUUUGAUCCCUGAACCAAAAGGUGAAGGGGAGGAGCAGCUCACGUCCAAGGGGCAGGAAGAGUGAAGUCAGCUCCACUUCAGCAGGUGAGCGGCCUCGGGGGAAACAUUCUGAUCUGGAUGUUUAAUUACAGACCAGGGGACUACACAGCAAUGCAUGGCGAGUCUCACU